UAGGGAAUCUUCCACAAUGGACGCAAGUCUGAUGGAGCAACGGCCGCGUGAGUGAAGAAGGUUUUCGGACCGUAAAGCUCUGUUGUUGGUGAAGAAGGAUAGAGGUAGUAACUGGCCUUUAUUUGACGGUAAUCAACCAGAAAGUCACGGCUAACUACGUGCCAGCAGCCGCGGUAAAUCGUAGGUGGCAAAGCGUUGUCCGGAUUUAUUGGGC
RNAcentral lists this ribosomal RNA (214 nucleotides) under uncultured bacterium. RNAcentral's name for it is "partial 16S ribosomal RNA". It matches the Rfam family "Bacterial small subunit ribosomal RNA", at positions 355 to 559 of the family's 1533-position model. The record is from RNAcentral.